Molecule: transfer RNA, 6483 nt
Filed under: Hevea brasiliensis (rubber tree)
Lineage: Eukaryota; Viridiplantae; Streptophyta; Magnoliopsida; Malpighiales; Euphorbiaceae
Source: RNAcentral
UGGCACAGCAAUAAAAGCCUUUGUAUUGCUAAUGGGUCUGCUCUUUCCAAGCUGGACAAAGUCACCAAACUUGAACUGGUUCUCCGGGUCAUCAGCCUGGAACUUCUUCUUCCUGACCCUUCUCUUGUACUCUGGAUUACCUCAACUGGUGUUGAAUUUUGAGCAGAAAAUGAAUUCUCAAGAACAAAGAAAUAAAAACCAAAGCAAAACAGAAGAAGAGAAAAUAAAUCUUCUUCAGCAGAACAUCACUCUUACGCCGAGAGCUAGAAUUUCAUUUACAAUAUAGGCAUGGGAGAGUUGUUUACACUGAUUACAAAAAACUAACUUCUCUAGCAACUAAAAAUAAGCAAAAUAUGGCUGGAAGUAUGGUAAAAGUUACCUAACACAGCUGCAAAAUUACAACAAUAAUAAAAAAAAAAACAUUUUCAGUACAAGUUCCAGCAUAAAAUUAAGCAACUAAGUAUCUAGGAAAAAUCACAUUUUAGUCUAACAACCGGCACCGUCUUGUCAUUUGUUGCACAACACAAACCACUCUCCCUUGCAUUGACCUCAUGGCCCUGACCAGAGGGAGAAAAGUGAAGGGUUUAGGGGGUUGGAGGGAUAGAGAAGAUGUGGGUUUCGAGAAGUUAGAGAGUGGGGUUGUGCCAUGGAGGAAACGGGUGGAGAUAGCGAGAGAGUUUAGUGAGGAUUUGAGGGACAUUGUUAGUGACAUUGUUUACUCAAUGUUUGGGAGUUGGGGUUGGGGAUAAGAGGGCAAGAGAGUUUUGUUGGUUAUCAUUGUGGAUUGGGUGUUGUUUGGGGAUGGGGUAUAUGCGUGUUGUUCUGUUGGAAUUGGCGUAAGAAGCAACGCAUUGCGCAAGGCUUUUAAAAAACCGACAUAUUUGCUUUGGGUUUAGCCUACAAAAUAAUCAUUGUCUUGGACUGUAGAAGCAUGAGCAUGGAGAUUGGCAUUUUGGACUGUAAAUGAUCAUUGUCUUUUCAGUUCCAACGUAGCCCAUCUAGAUCUAGUAUUAUGGAUCUUGGGGGAUCAUUUUUCCUGGAUCUAAGCUUCAAAAUUUGUUUGAUGCUAUAAUUCAGUUGAAGAUCAUAAAAUGGAUAGGCUAAUCCAGCUAAAAUCCACAUGGCACCACAUAGAUGACAAUCCAAAUCUGUCUCAAGAAAAUCAUUGUGCCACGUGUCCAACUGAUAUCCAUGCAAAAGAUAAAAAGAAAAAACUCCCAAGUCUCAACUUCUUUUUCUACUGUAUGUUGCCUGCUGAAACAUAGAGAAAGACUUCAGCUGGCUGCGAACCAAAACCAGGGCAAUGGCAUCUCUAGCAACCUUUGCGUCCGUGCAAACUGCCACCGUCAAGGGCCUUGGUGGUAGUUCCCUCACUGGAACAAAGCUCUGUGUCAAGCCAUCUCGCCAGAGCUUGAGACCCAAAAACAUGAGGAGUGGCGCUGUGGUAGCAAAGUAUGGUGAUAAGAGUGUGUACUUUGAUUUGGACGAUCUGGGCAACACUACUGGGCAGUGGGACUUGUACGGAUCAGAUGCACCUUCUCCAUACAACCCUCUCCAGGUUUCUGACCACUUCCCUUCUGAAUUUGAAUUCAGAAAAAGAUAGAGCCAAGUCCAGUUAUGCGUUGAAUUUUCAUUUCUAUGGUAGAAAAUGCAAAAAAAUGUCUCAAAAUGCUUUCAUUGAGAGUCGAACUCAAGACCUCCCGCUUACUAAACGGGUGCUCUAACCAACUGAGCUAUGAAAGCAAUAGGUGCUGCUUAAUCAACAGAAAUUAAUAAUUGUGAUAUUCAGAUUGACAAUCGAUGUUCUUAUGUAACAUUGAAUAACAGUAAUUUUGGAUUAAGUGGAUUGAGAUGAUUUGAUCCUGUUGGUGUUCAUAAAUGAUUUAGUGAUAUGGUUCAAACUAAUAAGGUUGAGAAGAAAAUUUGUUGAGAGAGGGCAUACAUAAUUUGAUAUGUUUGAAGAUAUGUAUAUUGUUUAAAGAUUAGUUUAGACAGUUAAGGAACUAAAUUCUGCAUAUACAUGUUACUGCAGAGCAAGUUCUUUGAGACAUUUGCAGCUCCAUUCACCAAGAGAGGGUUGUUACUCAAGUUCUUGAUCUUGGGAGGUGGCUCUACCCUAGCUUACCUAAGUGCUACAGCUUCUGGUGACAUCCUACCAAUCAAGAAGGGCCCUCAACUUCCACCAAAGCUGGGGCCACGUGACAAGAUCUAAUUUGCCCUUUUCUUUGUAUGUAUCUUCUUUUGACUUUGUAAGUUUGUCUAAAGCCUACUUCAGAAUAAAGGCCCCUGUUAUUAACUCAACUACAUUUGUUUUCAGUGUGAUUUUGGGGAAAUCCUUUUUUCAAAUCAUCAAAUGCUUUCUGUUGGAUAUGUUACUGUAUACUAAAAUGAACUGCAAUCUUCCAAGUAUAAUUGAUCAAUUGUAUAGGAUUAGCUAAGCCAAAUAACUCUAGCAGAAUUGAAAUUGUUGCAGAAGAUUCAAGCUGUUUAGAACGCAACACAGGGAAAAAAAAAUGAAUUUUGUCCAUUUUGAACCCAUCCAAAAAAAUGACCUUUGAGUCUAACAUACUACAUGUGCAUUUCAUGUACAAAUGAAAGAAUGUAUGAAAUGCUUCAAAUACAAUAGUUUUUACACUUAUAUGCUUUCUUCCCUAUUUACAAAAGGAAGGAAUAGAAUGAAAAUAAGAAAACUCUUGACAGAAAGAACCACCAGAAUUCAUAUUUCAAUACCAGGCUUUCUCACCCUUCUUCUGUGUUUCUCUUGUAUGGUUGUUGUGACAUGGUUAUCCCUUUCCUUUCCCUUCCUUUCCUCCCUGUAUCGUUGCUAUCAAUGGCGUGCUGUCGGGCUUCUUACACCUCCUAAGUUCUCAAGAUAGGAAGGUUUCUUGAUGGUUACUAUGUUAGCAAGUUUUUCUGUUAACUUUAAAUUUGAAUUUUCUUCUUUGAUUGUUUCAUCAGAAUUUCCAGAUGACUCUUUCUUUGCCUCAGUGUCAUUGGAUUCAAAAUUCCAACCCAUAAAAUCUGACAGUGUCAUUGAAUUGGGUCCCUCUGUGGCUGGGUCGUCCAUGGGUGGUGUGCUUUCUUGAGGUGUCUCUUUUAAAGGGUUCCUCUUCUGUCCAGCAUAUGAUGGAUUUCGAGUGACAUAAUCAGCAUAGAGCACAUCUUCAAUUCGAGACAUGACAGUGUAGGCCAAGCUUUCUAGAAUUCUUGAGUAACUUUCCAAAAUUGCCUGUCCUAUAUCCUGGUUGUAUUGAAUUUUGCUAAUAUCUAGUGCAGAUUGAGGAAUUCCAGGGAACCUUUGCUUGAGAAUCAGUAAGAUAGUUUCUGCUCUCUCUUCGAAGAGUUCUCUCUUCUCCAAACUGACAGCAGAACCCCAAGCAGAUUUCCCAUCUUUCUGGUUCAUCUUCCUCUUCCAAAUCACUAUAGAAGCCUCAAUUCUGUUCUUCAGGUCUAGGAUUUUAUGCUCUGAUGAUAAGUCCAUGGUGGACAGAAAUUGGUCAGGAUCAAAGAAUUCAACUGUGAUACUCCUAUAAAUUGAGUCCCCGAGGCUUGCCCUCCCGUUCUUGGGUAGAGAUUCAAUGUAGUUUUCAGGAACCUCCAUUUCUGAUAGAACAUUGGCAUUUAUAGCCAUGGCUGCUUUCAGCACCUGGUUAACACAAUCCUUCUGAUACUGCAGAAAUUUUCUUGCCGCAUCUGAUAAACCAUUUGGAGGAACUUUGGCAGUAGGUAGCCACCAUUUUUCAUCUACUCUCUUGGUGUUACCUUUUUCUGAGUCAGGGGCAUCUCUUGAAACAUAAUAGAACUCAUUUUGGUCUUUGAAGUUAUCCAGGCAGUCUAUGAGCAUUGCAUCAAGCUUUCGCAAUGCGGGGAUGUUCAUGUGAAGAUCAUUUCGCUGUCUUGUCACCAUUAUCUCCAUAUCUGAACCAUCCUUGGAUUUCUGCUGAGAGGCAACAAAUUCAACAAUGUAAUCAGUCACACACAAGAGCAAAUCAAUUUCUUUUCUCCACCUUGCUUUCCUUUCUGCUGACAUAGGCUCCAGGCGCCAUUGUUCACCAAAUACAGAAGCAGCAAGAUUUGUAAUGGCAUUUGACAAUGCCAGAGCAGAAGAGACGCCCUUUCCUCCUCCUGACAUAUCCUCUCCCAAAAGCAAUUUGGCAAACCUUUCCUUCAUCUGUUCCAUUUCUGCAUUUUGUUUAUCUUUGGCAUCAUCCUUGUUUAAUCUUGAAUUAGGAUCCUUGUCGUUCUUAUUAUUCACGCUUGCUUUUGAUCCUUUGUUUCUAAAUGUUAUUCUCUCGUCCAUGGAAGAGUCGAGGAGACUAGAACUGUCAUCAACGCUAAGGCUCUUCACAUGACGACCUCCUGAGCUCUCAUUCAUCCCUUUGAAAUGAAACAAUCUAGACUUCAAAUUCUCUUGUUCUUGCUCAAGAGCACGAACCAUUUUAAUGGUCACAAAAGGGACAAGAAACUAGCAACAGAAAGGAAAACAUGAGAUUGUUGAACAUGAAAAAGCUUUGCUUGUUGGUUAUUGAGAAAAAGAGGAAGAACCCAACUUCAAAAAGAUUCUAUUUUUGCACAGAUUUGUGAUUCUUCUGAGGAAUUAAUGAGUUUGACAAAAUUGUGGAUGUAAUCAGCUAGGUGUUGGUAGAACGUGGCGUGCAUGCUUUGAGAAUUGAACUGUAUUAAGAGCAAUAAACAAGAAAAAGAAAUUUUUUUUUUCUUGAAUUUGUGUUAUGUGAGAAUUGAGCGGUUGUUUUUAGUUUUCAAAGGUCAAAGCUUGCAAAGAAAACGGGAAGACAGACAUAAAUGGGCAACCGCCAUUUCUCUGUAUAUUUUUCUCUAUAAUUUAUUAAUUUACCACCAAAAUGCACGGUUUAAAUGGAUUGAUGCAACUUGAUGCAACCCCAAAUAUAUACUUUGCAUAACAAAAGAGUUUAUUAAAAAAAAAAAACGUGAGACCCUGAAAAGUUCAUAUGAAAAUAAGUUUUGUUUGCCAUUUUGUCAAAUGGAACGACACCGUUUGGAAACUCGCAGACGUAGCAGUUGAGAACAGCUCUGUACAGCUCUGUGUGGUGGGAAAACUGUUUUCCUCUUUUGUGCCGUGCCACGCCACAAGCGAAAUCCAAACGCAAAAAUCCAAAGAAAACUCACCUGUAAACUGCAACUACGCAGUCACGCUGACCCCUGAAUACCCCAAACCAACCGCAGCCAAACUGUACAAAAUCGCAACUCUUCCAUUAUCACUCGCACUGAAAGGCUCACUUCUCCUGACAAAUAGGAGGACUCCAUCCAAAAAUACCAAUGGAGUCGAUCGGUGUUCUAAUGACCUGCCCUCCAAACUUCCCCUACCUCGUUGAAGAACUCGAGAAGCGCUUCACCCUCUACAAGCUCCAAAACGCCCCAGACAAGACCCACUUCAUCAAUUCCCACAAGAAUUCGAUCAGGGCAGUCGUGGGUAACGCCGGGUUCGGUGCCGAUGCCGAACUGAUCGACCAAUUGCCGAAGCUGGAAAUCGUCUCCAGUUUCAGCGUGGGGCUCGAUAAGGUUGAUUUGCCCAAGUGCAAGGAGAAAAGGAUACGGGUCACAAACACGCCUGAUGUUCUGACGAAUGAUGUCGCCGACUUGGCUAUUGGGUUGAUGUUGGCGGUACUGAGGAGGUUGUGUGAGAGUGAUCGGUAUGUCAGGAGUGGAAAGUGGAAAAAGGGUGACUACAAGUUGACUACUAAGUUUACUGGGAAGUCUGUCGGCAUUAUUGGGUUGGGCAGGAUCGGCAUGGCAAUUGCCACAAGAGCUGAAGCAUUUAGCUGUCCAAUUAGUUACUAUGCUAGAACAGAAAAACCAGAUGUAAAAUACAGGUACUAUCCAAGCGUUAUUGAGUUGGCUGCCAAUUGUCAAAUCCUUGUCGUUGCAUGUGCACUAACAGAAGAAACCCACCACAUUGUCAAUCGUGAAGUUAUGAAUGCAUUAGGUCCAAAGGGGGUCCUCAUUAACAUUGGUAGAGGUCCUCAUGUUGAUGAACCUGAGCUGGUGUCUGCACUACUUGAAGGCAGGUUAGGUGGUGCUGGGCUUGAUGUGUUUGAAGACGAGCCUAAUGUGCCUGAGCCGCUAUUUGGUCUUGAAAAUGUAGUCCUAUUGCCUCAUGUGGGAAGUGGUACGGUGGAAACCAGAAAAGCUAUGGCUGACCUUGUUGUUGGCAACUUGGAAGCACACUUCUUUAAGAAGCCUCUGUUGACUCCAGUGGUUUGAUUUUGACAUAAAAAUUUGUGAAUACAAAGACUGAUCAGAGGCGUCAUCAUGCUUCUGGGACUUGAAUUAAUCUAGAUAUCAUUAUUUCCAGGACCUGGCAAGAAUGCCUUGAUGGAAGAAAACAAUAUUCUCUAGAUUUCAAGUUGUAUGGCUGAAUUUAUUUUCUUCUUAGCACUCUUAAACAUGUUGGUAUUCUGAAAUGACAUUUACAUGUUCCAUUUUUUUUUUGCUGCCAAAUCU